CAUGAUAGUUGAAUUGGGCUCUCUAAUCUGGGUGAAGGCAUGUAAUUUAGUAAAUGCAUAAACAUGUUAAACAUGAUGCAUAAACAUGUUAAAAAUGAUAUGAUAGGUAAUGCAUAUAAUUUAGUGAAUGCAUAAACAUGUUAAGAAUGAUAUAAUAGGUAAUUUGGUGAAUUUACGAGUAUAUGAAGACUGAGAUGAUACUCCCCUCUUAUUUGGAAGAAGAAAAUUUCUUCUUGUAUUUGGCUGAAACUAUGUAUACUCAUAAUGAGAUCAAAGUUCCUUUUUCUAUUUGGCUGAAGCCAUGUAAUUUGGUGAAUGCAUGAACAUACGCAAGAAUGAGAUCACACUCCCUGGUGGAAGGCAUGUAAUUCGGUGAGCAUUCCUUUUUCUAUUUGGCUGACGGCAUGUAAUUUAGUUAAUGUAAUUUGGUGAGCACUCCCUUUUUGCUAUUUGACUGAAGGCAUGUAAUUUGGUGAUUGUAAUUUGAUGAAGGCAUAAGUGUCCCUUUUUCUAUUUGGUUGAAGGCAUGUAAUUUGGUGAAUGUAAUUUGGUGAAUGCAUAAGUUAUAAGAAUGAGUUUAC
This 581-nucleotide long non-coding RNA is filed under the name Amborella trichopoda. RNAcentral's name for it is "long non-coding RNA (ATRI_LNC004532)". Lineage: Eukaryota; Viridiplantae; Streptophyta; Magnoliopsida; Amborellales; Amborellaceae. The record is from RNAcentral.